UACGGAGGGGGCUAGCGUUGUUCGGAAUUACUGGGCGUAAAGGGCGCGUAGGCGGUAUGCCAAGUCAGGGGUGAAAGGCCUGGGCUCAACCCAGGAACUGCCUUUGAAACUGGCAAACUAGAGUCCGAAAGAGGAUGGCGGAAUUCCCAGUGUAGAGGUGAAAUUCGUAGAUAUUGGGAAGAACACCAGUGGCGAAGGCGGCCAUCUGGAUCGGUACUGACGCUGAGGCGCGAAAGCGUGGGGAGCAAACAGG
This 253-nucleotide unclassified non-coding RNA is filed under the name Rhodospirillales bacterium. RNAcentral's name for it is "partial 16S ribosomal RNA". It matches the Rfam family "Bacterial small subunit ribosomal RNA", at positions 524 to 776 of the family's 1533-position model. The record is from RNAcentral. RNAcentral also lists the same sequence under 1 other name. Lineage: Bacteria; Pseudomonadati; Pseudomonadota; Alphaproteobacteria; Rhodospirillales.